UAGGGAAUCUUCCGCAAUGGACGCAAGUCUGACGGAGCAACGCCGCGUGAGUGAAGAAGGAUUUCGGUUCGUAAAACUCUGUUGUUAGAGAAGAACAGCGCAUAGAGUAACUGUUAUGCGUGUGACGGUAUCUAACCAGAAAGCCACGGCUAACUACGUGCCAGCAGCCGCGGUAAUACGUAGGUGGCAAGCGUUGUCCGGAUUUAUUGGGCGUAAAGCGAGCGCAGGCGGUCAAUUAAGUCUGAUGUGAAAGCCCCCGGCUCAACCGGGGAGUGUCAUUGGAAACUGGUUGACUGGAGUGCAGAGGAGGAGGGAGGAAUUCCAUGUGUAGCGGUGAAAUGCGUAGAUAUAUGGAGGACCACCAGUGGCGAAGGCGACUCGCUGGUCUGUAACUGACGCUGAGGCUCGAAAGCGUGGGUAGCAAACAGA
Molecule: ribosomal RNA, 429 nt
Filed under: Bacteroidota bacterium
Lineage: Bacteria; Pseudomonadati; Bacteroidota
Description: Bacteroidetes bacterium partial 16S ribosomal RNA
Rfam family: Bacterial small subunit ribosomal RNA
Source: RNAcentral